AGCGAACGCUGGCGGCAGGCUUAACACAUGCAAGUCGAGCGCCCCGCAAGGGGAGCGGCAGACGGGAGAGUACCACGUGGGAACAUACCUUUUGGUUCGGAACAACUGAGGGAAACUUCAGCUAAUACCGGAUAAGCCCUUACGGGGAAAGAUUUAUCGCCGAAAGAUUGGCCCGCGUCUGAUUAGCUAGUUGGUGAGGUAACGGCUCACCAAGGCGACGAUCAGUAGCUGGUCUGAGAGGAUGAUCAGCCUCACUGGGACUGAGACACGGCCCAGACUCCUACGGGAGGCAGCAGUGGGGAAUAUUGGACAAUGGGGGCAACCCUGAUCCAGCCAUACCGCGUGAGUGAUGAAGGCCUUAGGGUUGUAAAGCUCUUUUGCCCGGGAAGAUAAUGACGGUACCGGGAGAAUAAGCCCCGGCUAACUUCGUG
This 431-nucleotide ribosomal RNA is filed under the name uncultured bacterium. Its description in RNAcentral is "partial 16S ribosomal RNA". It matches the Rfam family "Bacterial small subunit ribosomal RNA", at positions 29 to 507 of the family's 1533-position model. The record is from RNAcentral.